This 253-nucleotide ribosomal RNA is filed under the name uncultured bacterium. RNAcentral describes it as "partial 16S ribosomal RNA". It matches the Rfam family "Bacterial small subunit ribosomal RNA", at positions 524 to 776 of the family's 1533-position model. The record is from RNAcentral.
UACGAAGGGGGCUAGCGUUGCUCGGAAUGACUGGGCGUAAAGGGCGCGUAGGCGGUUUGUACAGUCAGGUGUGAAAUUCCCGGGCUCAACCUGGGGGCUGCACUUGAUACGUAUGGACUGGAGUGGGGAAGAGGGUCGUGGAAUUCCCAGUGUAGAGGUGAAAUUCGUAGAUAUUGGGAAGAACACCGGUGGCGAAGGCGGCGACCUGGUCCUUGACUGACGCUGAGGCGCGAAAGCCAGGGGAGCAAACGGG